CCGGGGUGCACGGGGGCCCCGUGCCGCAGAAGAGCUGUCCGCAUCUCCGGGCCGCCCCGUGCAGCAGCACAGCCCCCGUCCCGCAGGAGGGACCCGCCGGUAUCCGGCAGCCCUCCCAAGCCCUCCCGUGGGCUGCGGGGAAUCGGGGGCUGCUCAGCGCGGGGUGCACUGACCCCCGUCUCUCUCUGUUUCUACCCCCAGGGAGCAAAACCCAAGGCGUGGUGCAAGGCGUCACUUCAGUGGCCGAGAAGGCGAAGGAGCAGGCGUCCCAGCUGGGCGAAGCGGCGUUCUCGGGCGCCGGCAACAUCGCGGCGGCCACGGGGCUGGUGAAAAAGGAGGAGUUCCCCGCGGACCUGAAGGCCGAGGAGGUGGCACAGGAGGCUGUGGAAGAGCCGCUGGUUGAGCCGCUGCUGGAGCCGGAGGGGGAGAGCUACGAGGAGUCCCCACAGGAGGAAUACCAGGAAUACGAGCCAGAGGCAUAAUGGAACCCUGUCCUUGCCUCUUCCACCAGCAGCACAACGAACCGCCGGUAGCCCCCUGCUCCUCCCCAGCUGGCCCCGGCCAGUGCCCACGUGCCGGGGAGGAGCAGGGUUGCCCCUGCCCCGUUCGCUCACAAGUUCUUCCUCCAGUUCCGUUCCAAGGGACCAUGUCCAUGUCUCCGUACCGUGUCUAGCAGUGAGAACCCGCUGUGUCCGAGCCCUGCAGCCUCAGCGUGUGCCCAAGCUGUGGGCACUGCCCGCAGGGGCUGCUGUGUGUGUGUGCGUGCGAGUGUCCGUGGUGCCCGGGCUUACAGCUCUGUCUCCCUCCCAGCGCUGUAAGCCCCGGCUGCGUCCCGGUGUGUCUGUGUGUGUACAAAGCAUGUUUACCUGCGCGCGGGCUGCUGUACAUUUUGCUUGCAUGCGUGUCCCUGUGGUUCUGCUCUGGUCAUCGUGGAACUGUUUUUGGUUUUCUGUUUUUGUUUUUUUUUUUUUUUUAAUAUAUCUAUCUCUAUCUAUGGGUGGACGGGUCUUUUGCCUUUGUGAGCCCUCGGUGUCCAAGCCCGCUCCCCAGCCUGCUGGGUGGAGACGGUGCCUGCACCCUCCCCGAGGUCCUGUAGUGCUGACGCUGUGUUGUGACGUGGCAUGGAUAUCCCCCCGCCCUCGUUGCUGGAUGUGCAAUACGAGUGCAGCUGCCAGUGACACAGCUGCCACCGUGUCCAUGAAUAAAGCCAACUCUUGUCUGUAGCCCCCUGGUGCUGGUUGUGGGGUCCCUUGGUCU
Molecule: long non-coding RNA, 1257 nt
Filed under: Chrysolophus pictus (golden pheasant)
Lineage: Eukaryota; Metazoa; Chordata; Aves; Galliformes; Phasianidae
Description: lncRNA (ENSCPIG00010005422.1)
Source: RNAcentral